UAGUUCUGCGCCUACCAUGGUUGUAACGGGUAACGGGGAAUCAGGGUUCGAUUCCGGAGAGGGAGCCUGAGAAACGGCUACCACAUCCAAGGAAGGCAGCAGGCGCGCAAAUUACCCACUCCCGGCACGGGGAGGUAGUGACGAAAAAUAACGAUACGGGACUCAUCCGAGGCCCCGUAAUCGGAAUGAGCACACUUUAAAUCCUUUAACGAGUAUCCAUUGGAGGGCAAGUCUGGUGCCAGCAGCCGCGGUAAUUCCAGCUCCAAUAGCGUAUAUUAAAGUUGUUGCGGUUAAAAAGCUCGUAGUCGGACUUGUGUCACACGCUGCCGGUUCACCGCCCGUCGGUGUUUAACUGGCAUGCACGUGCUGACGUCCUGCCGGUGGCCCAAGCCGAGCCGGGUGUUCUGUGUGCGGGUUUCCCUUUCGGGGCUCGCCUCGUCCCCGGCUUCUGGGGAGGGCCUACUUAUACCCCUCGCGGUGCUCUUAACCGAGUGUCUCGAUGGGCCGGCACGUUUACUUUGAACAAAUUAGAGUGCUUAAAGCAGGCAGAAUCCGCCUGAAUACUGAGUGCAUGGAAUAAUGGAAUAGGACCUCGGUUCUAUUUUGUUGGUUUUCGGAAUCCCCGAGGUAAUGAUCAAUAGGGACAGACGGGGGCAUUCGUAUUGCGGCGUUAGAGGUGAAAUUCUUGGAUCGUCGCAAGACGGACCGAAGCGAAAGCAUUUGCCAAGAAUGUUUUCUCUGAUCAAGAACGAAAGUUAGAGGUUCGAAGGCGAUCAGAUACCGCCCUAGUUCUAACCAUAAACGAUGCCAGCCAGCAAUCCGCCGAAGUUCCUCCGAUGACUCGGCGGGCGGCUUCCGGGAAACCAAAGCUUUUGGGUUCCGGGGGAAGUAUUCAGCCAAAGCUGAAA
Molecule: ribosomal RNA, 908 nt
Filed under: Diplopterina parva
Lineage: Eukaryota; Metazoa; Arthropoda; Insecta; Blattodea; Blaberidae
Description: SSU rRNA
Rfam family: Eukaryotic small subunit ribosomal RNA
Source: RNAcentral